CCAGACUCCUACGGGAGGCAGCAGUAGGGAAUUUUCGGCAAUGGGGGGAACCCUGACCGAGCAACGCCGCGUGAACGAAGGAGGCUUUCGGGUUGUAAACUUCUUUUGACAGGGAAGAGCAGAAGACGGUACCUGUCGAAUAAGCCACGGUUAACUACGUGCCAGCAGCCGCGGUAAUACGUAGGGAGCAAGCGUUGUCCGGAAUUACUGGGCGUAAAGGGCGCGUAGGUGGGCGCUUAAGUCAGGUGUGAAAACUCCGGGCUCAACCUGGAGACUGCACUUGAAACUGGGUGUCUUGAGGGCAGGAGAGGAAAGUGGAAUUCCUAGUGUAGCGGUGAAAUGCGUAGAUAUUAGGAGGAACACCAGUGGCGAAGGCGACUUUCUGGACUGUACCUGACGCUGAGGCGCGAAAGCGUGGGUAGCGAACGGGAUUAGAUACCCGAGUAUAC
This 449-nucleotide ribosomal RNA is filed under the name uncultured bacterium. RNAcentral's name for it is "bacterial SSU rRNA". It matches the Rfam family "Bacterial small subunit ribosomal RNA", at positions 331 to 795 of the family's 1533-position model. The record is from RNAcentral.